This 76-nucleotide transfer RNA is filed under the name Gemmatimonadota bacterium. RNAcentral describes it as "Gemmatimonadetes bacterium (marine metagenome) tRNA-Arg". It matches the Rfam family "tRNA". From Rfam's summary of the family: Transfer RNA (tRNA) molecules are approximately 80 nucleotides in length. Their secondary structure includes four short double-helical elements and three loops (D, anti-codon, and T loops). Further hydrogen bonds mediate the characteristic L-shaped molecular structure. tRNAs have two regions of fundamental functional importance: the anti-codon, which is responsible for specific mRNA codon recognition, and the 3' end, to which the tRNAs corresponding amino acid is attached (by aminoacyl-tRNA synthetases). tRNAs cope with the degeneracy of the genetic code in two manners: having more than one tRNA (with a specific anti-codon) for a particular amino acid; and 'wobble' base-pairing, i.e. permitting non-standard base-pairing at the 3rd anti-codon position. The record is from RNAcentral. Lineage: Bacteria; Pseudomonadati; Gemmatimonadota.
GCCCCUGUAGCUCAGCGGAUAGAGUAGCGGAUUCCUAAUCCGUUGGUCGUGGGUUCGAGUCCCGCCAGGGGCACCA